This 30-nucleotide non-coding RNA is filed under the name Rattus norvegicus (Norway rat). Lineage: Eukaryota; Metazoa; Chordata; Mammalia; Rodentia; Muridae. The record is from RNAcentral.
AACNGAUGAACUGGCAGCUCUCCUGCUAGU